This is a long non-coding RNA of Pecten maximus, 649 nucleotides long. RefSeq lists it as uncharacterized. The transcript has 2 exons. NCBI's taxonomy places the organism in Eukaryota, Metazoa, Mollusca, Bivalvia, Pectinida, Pectinidae. The record is from RefSeq and is a predicted model, not a curated record.
UGUGUGUGUGUGUGUGUGUGUGUGUGUGUGUGCUCUCAGAAUUACGGAGUUGUGGACACAUAAGCGGUGUAUAGACCAACGUUGUGGACACAUUUUACAUUGUGGACACCAUAAUUUGGUGUCCACAGUGUACACACAUCUAGUGGCCUACUAUAACCCUACUUAAUAUAUUUAAGGGAAAACUGUAUAACAGCGUUGUGAACCACCCUGAUACACACCGUGUGUAUAGGGCUGGAAAAAUAUGUUGAGUAGACUGUGUGAAGUCACCUCACAUACACACCUAGCGAAUUACGUUAUCUAUAUGGGUCACCUGCAGCUGAUCCUGCUGCAGUGGCUAGCGCGGGUCAGUUUCUUACUGUCUAUGAGAGGCACCAACGGGGUAUAUAACGUGAUUGCAUUAGUAAAUCUAUAUAAGAAACACUAUUCUAUCCUACUGAGCACCCCGUAGUUUUCCCGCAAAAAUGUCAAGAAAACCAAGGCACCAGUAAACCUAGUUUAGUUGCCGAUACUACACCUGGACAUUGGAUCGAUGCCACGGAGGAACUCUAACUGACCACAUGAGAAAGUCUUCGUCGCCUUGUCAAUCAUGCUAAACGUGGUGUAGCAAACGCAACGAUAAAACUGGUCGAUUAAAAUGGAUAGCCACGUC